This 880-nucleotide ribosomal RNA is filed under the name Russula sp. VH-2016n. RNAcentral's name for it is "eukaryotic LSU rRNA". It matches the Rfam family "Eukaryotic large subunit ribosomal RNA", at positions 74 to 931 of the family's 3401-position model. Lineage: Eukaryota; Fungi; Basidiomycota; Agaricomycetes; Russulales; Russulaceae. The record is from RNAcentral.
AUUCCCCUAGUAACUGCGAGUGAAGCGGGAAAAGCUCAAAUUUAAAAUCUGAUGGUCUUUGGCCAUCCGAGUUGUAAUUUAGAGAAGCGUUUUCCGCGCUGGACCGUGCACAAGUCUCCUGGAAUGGAGCGUCAUAGAGGGUGAGAAUCCCGUCUUUGGCACGGACACAACCAGGGCUUUUGUGAUGUGCUCUCGAAGAGUCGAGUUGUUUGGGAAUGCAGCUCAAAAUGGGUGGUGAACUCCAUCUAAAGCUAAAUAUUGGCGAGAGACCGAUAGCGAACAAGUACCGUGAGGGAAAGAUGAAAAGCACUUUGGAAAGAGAGUGAAACAGUACGUGAAAUUGUUGAAAGGGAAACGCUUAAAGUCAGUCGCGUCGACCGAGACUCAGCCUUGCCUCGGCUUGGUGUAUUUCUUGGCCGACGGGUCAGCAUCAAUUUUGCCCCUUGGAUAAUGGCGAGGGAAAUGUGACACCAUCAUGGUGUGUUAUAGUCUCUUGUCGCAUGCAAGGGUCGAGAUUGAGGAACUCAGCAUGCACCUUUGGGUGUCGGGGCUUUGCCCACGAUACGUGCUUAGGAUGUUGACGUAAUGGCUUUAAACGACCCGUCUUGAAACACGGACCAAGGAGUCUAACAUGCCCGCGAGUGUUCGGGUGGAAAACCCGUGCGCGCAAUGAAAGUGAAAGUUGGGACCUCUGUCGUGGAGGGCACCGACGCCCGGACCAGACCUUCUGUGACGGCUCUGCGGUAGAGCGUGUAUGUUAGGACCCGAAAGAUGGUGAACUAUGCCUGAAUAGGGUGAAGCCAGAGGAAACUCUGGUGGAGGCUCGUAGCGAUUCUGACGUGCAAAUCGAUCGUCAAAUUUGGGUAUAGGGGCGAAAGAC